Molecule: transfer RNA, 71 nt
Filed under: Myotis davidii
Lineage: Eukaryota; Metazoa; Chordata; Mammalia; Chiroptera; Vespertilionidae
Rfam family: tRNA
About the family: Transfer RNA (tRNA) molecules are approximately 80 nucleotides in length.
Source: Rfam by way of RNAcentral
GCCAUGGUGGCUCAGUGGUUGAGCGUCAACCUCUGAACCAGGAGGUCAGGGUUUGAUUCCCAGUCAGGGCU